RNAcentral lists this long non-coding RNA (1613 nucleotides) under Gallus gallus (chicken). Lineage: Eukaryota; Metazoa; Chordata; Aves; Galliformes; Phasianidae. The record is from RNAcentral.
CUCACACAAGAGCUUCAUGCCAGGACCUUGCACGAGGAAGAGCUUUGCACAAUGACCCUGCUCAAGGGUGAGCCUUGCACGAGGACCUUGCACAAGAGUGAGCCUUUCAUGAGGUCCUUGCACAAGAGAUUUGGGCCGGGACCUUGCGUGAGGAUGAGCCUUGCAUGAGGAUGAGCCUUGCACAAGGACCUUGCACAAGAACUUCAGGCCAGGACCUUGCGUGAGGAUGAGCUUUGCACAAGGAUGAGCCUUGCAUGAGGACCUUGCACAAGAGCUUCAGGCCAGGACUUUGCGUGAGGAAGAGCCUUGCAUGAGGUCCUUGCACAAGAGUGAGCUUUGAACAAGGACCUUGCACAAGAGCUUCAGGCCGGGACCUUGCAUGAGGAUGAGCCUUGUACGCGGACCUUGCACAAGGGUGAGCCUUUCAUGAGGUCCUUGCACAAGAGCCUCAGGUGCAGACCUUGCACGAGGAUAAGCUGCUUUCCACAAGGACCAUACACAAGGAUGAGCCACUUUGCACAAGGAUAUUGCAUUAGGAUGAGCCUUGCACAAGGGCCGUGUACAAGAGCCACAGGAGCCUUGCACGAGGGCCUUGCAUUAACAUCAGCUUUGCACGAGGACCUUGUACAAGAACCUCUGCUUAGGACCUUACAUGAGGAAGGAUCGCUUUGCACAAGGAUCUCACGCGAGGAUAAGCCUUGCACGAGGACCAUGCACAAGGAUGUGGUGCAGAGUGAAGAUCCCUUGCACAAGGACAGGCUUUUCACAAGAGGUUCGCCUGUGUGAUAGCGUUGUGUAAGGAUGAGGUUGGUGUGUGAGCUUUGCACAAGGGCCUUACACAGAGACCUCGUGCAAGGAGCCCAUGGGAAUACCUUCAGUAAGAAUGACUCUUGCACAAGGAUCUUGCACACGCCUCGUGUCAAGACAUCCUCUGAAGACCCAAUUAAGGCCUCAAGCUUUGCACGAGGGCCUUGCACAAGGAGCGUGCCUGUGGCUCUUCCUUGCACGACGGCCUGCAUGGGGCCCUUCCAUGAGAUCCUCGCACAAGGAGGGGUUUUGCACGACCAUCUUCCACAAGAGCCUUGCACGAGGGCCUUGCACCAGAGCCUCACACUGAGCCGGUUCUUGCACGUGGGCCUGCAUGACAACAACCUUUGCACAAGGACCUCGCACGAGGACACACCGUGCCUUCCAUGAGGACCUUGCACGAGGACACCAUGUGCCUUUCACCACAGCCUUGCACGAGGACGCAUUGUGCACAAGGAACUCUCCCAAGGAUGAGCCACGGCACGGCCUUGUGCACAUGCGAACCUUACAGGGAGAAGUGCCUUGCACGACAGCCUCGCACGAGGACGAGCCUUGCACGAGGGACUCGCAGACAGCCGUGCCUUGCACGAGGACCUUGCACAAGCGUGGCUAUCAGCGUGCACAAGGACGAGCCUCGUGCGAGGGCUUUGCACGAGGACGCUCCUGGCAUUGGGGCCUUGCACGAGGCCUUUCCAUGAGCGGGGCCUUGCACGAGGCCUUGCACGAGGACUGUGCACGUUGGGGGGGGGGGUUGGGGGGGGCGCCCCAUUAUUUCUAUCACAGUCGAUUUUUGAGACCAAGAAAAG